AUGUCGUCAACUGGGUCUGCCGAAUGGACCGAUGAGAAUACUCGGAUUAUCGUGGAGUUGUUUGUGAAACAAGUGAAGGCUGGAAACAUGCCAACCACUCAUUUGACACCCAGUGCAUAUGAUGAGGUGGGAAAGGAGUUCUUGAUGAGAACUGGGCUUGAGUACACACCAAAGCAAGUGAGGAACAAAUGGACCAAGUUAAAACGUGAGUACAACACAUUCAAGAAGCUCAAGUUGCGCGAGACUGGAGGGGGUUGGGACUUUGAGAAAAACACUGUUAAACAAGAUAAUGAGUGGUGGAAAAAGGCGAAAGUUGUAAGUUCGCAUGCUUAUGUUUCUCAGAAAAUAAAAUCUGAACUUGUCAUGCUUUAUGUACUAAUGUCUCUCUUUCAUACAAUAGGACCUUCCAGGUUGUGGCAAGUUCAAGAAGCAUGGACUCCGUAA
This 444-nucleotide ribosomal RNA is filed under the name Triticum aestivum (bread wheat). RNAcentral describes it as "partial small subunit ribosomal RNA". Lineage: Eukaryota; Viridiplantae; Streptophyta; Magnoliopsida; Poales; Poaceae. The record is from RNAcentral.